UACGGGGGGAGCAAGCGUUGUUCGGAUUUACUGGGCGUAAAGAGCUCGUAGGCGGUCUGUCGCGUCGGCUGUGAAAUCCCGAGGCUCAACCUCGGGUCUGCAGUCGAUACGGGCAAACUAGAGUAUUGCAGGGGAGACUGGAAUUCCUGGUGUAGCGGUGAAAUGCGCAGAUAUCAGGAGGAACACCGGUGGCGAAGGCGGGUCUCUGGGCAAUAACUGACGCUGAGGAGCGAAAGCGUGGGGAGCGAACAGG
RNAcentral lists this ribosomal RNA (253 nucleotides) under uncultured bacterium. RNAcentral describes it as "partial 16S ribosomal RNA". It matches the Rfam family "Bacterial small subunit ribosomal RNA", at positions 524 to 776 of the family's 1533-position model. The record is from RNAcentral.